GGAGGCAUGGCCGAAUGGUAGGGUGUCUGCCUGGCAAGCACAAGGCCCUGAGUUCAAAACCUAGUACUACUA
RNAcentral lists this transfer RNA (72 nucleotides) under Dipodomys ordii (Ord's kangaroo rat). It matches the Rfam family "tRNA". From Rfam's summary of the family: Transfer RNA (tRNA) molecules are approximately 80 nucleotides in length. Their secondary structure includes four short double-helical elements and three loops (D, anti-codon, and T loops). Lineage: Eukaryota; Metazoa; Chordata; Mammalia; Rodentia; Heteromyidae. The record is from Rfam by way of RNAcentral.